AUACUUACCUGGACGGAGUCAAUGAACGAUAAAAAAAACUCAUGGCCUAGGGUAGUGACCUACAUUGCACUUGAUAGGGGUGCUGCUCUAAGGUCUCCUCAAUAGAGAGAGCCUACGUCAUAAUUUGUGGUAGAGGGGACUUGCAUUCGCGUUAAAAUAUUUCUUA
This is a small nuclear RNA of Hibiscus syriacus, 166 nucleotides long. RefSeq annotates it as U1 spliceosomal RNA. The record is from RefSeq and is a predicted model, not a curated record. The transcript has a single exon. NCBI's taxonomy places the organism in Eukaryota, Viridiplantae, Streptophyta, Magnoliopsida, Malvales, Malvaceae.